Long non-coding RNA from Gasterosteus aculeatus aculeatus (three-spined stickleback), 1685 nucleotides. Lineage: Eukaryota; Metazoa; Chordata; Actinopteri; Perciformes; Gasterosteidae. The record is from Ensembl.
GUCAUUGAAAAGCAACCCAGGCUGAGCAAGUCAUCCGAGUAAGAUAAUGACCGAGAAUGUGUGGAACUCGCUCCGCGCUAACGGUACGUAGCAUGGGUGGACGUAGCAUGGGUGGAGGGGGGCAGAUUGCCAUGUUUCACUCCCCUCCAAAGGCUAAAAAAAAGCACACAGCUGUUUCACUGAGUCCAUGUCGGCGUAUUUCUCCCUCUCGUUUGCUGUUUACUCUUCACUCCAAAGCUGCAUCUUUCUGCAUGCGUCAUUUUUUUCAAUUCACUUUGAGGUAAAAACAAUACAAAAAAGAUUAAGUUGCAGAAAGAUGUUGUUCCGCUUUCUUAUGCUGUCAAUCAUCGUGUGACCCCUCUGAUUCAUCUUGUCUCCCACUGGGCCUUGACCUCCUGGUUGAAAACAAACUCCCAUACUGAGGAAACCAUUGAUGAAAGCAGAUUUUUUUCAAAGCCGAGAUCUCCUGCAGUCAAACGUCAGUAAACUGCCUCUGUGGGAUUGAAAGACAAAAGCACUUCAGGAGCACGAACGACAUUGUGAACUUUGAUAACGUCGAGCUUUCAGGUUCUUACAACGACGCGUGUGAAUAACUUCAGCUUGUCAGUGUAGCCGAAUGCAGAGCUUCCCCCUAACACACAGGCACUGGGGGCUAAUCAGAGCCCGCUGACUGUAAAAUAUGAGCUUAAUUUAUGACGUUAGAUGUGGCCUGCGUGCCUCCCCCGUCACUGUUUGCUCCUCCCGAUCUCCACCCAGCAUACAUUUCAUUCCAGUGGAGCAACAAAGCUCCGGCUGCGUUUCUCACCGUUGCAAACGGUGUUAUUGCAAAGAAAAGAAUGCUGGAGGCCAGUUGGUCCAUGUAUUAUGCUCUUUCUUUCUCCAGCGGCUGUUUAUUUACCUUGGAGAUGAACGCGGCGAGCCUUCCUCUGGGCUGCGCCCGCCCGGGGCUGUGUGGGGGGGGGGGAGACGUGCUCUGUGAACACACGGAGGAAGAGGCUGCGCUUAUUAAAGCUGCUGGGUUGAGGGUGCAGCGCCUCAGACGGCCCGGCUUCCUCCUUUUGUCUUCAUGCACUUGGAGUCCGGAGUUCUUUGCCGAUGACGAUCACAGCAAUGUGUUCUCAAUGAUGAAAUAAAUAUUGAAACUGAUGAAACAUCCCAUAACAUAAUACAACGCUGCCAUCACACUGCAUUUAACAGUGAAAAGCGUGAUGGCAUCUUUCAUUUUGCGGUCAGGGAGCGUUUUUGGUAGAAAAAUGGUAAAGUUAAUAAUGUUGUUCCAGAGCGGUUCACACUAGUCUGAGGACUUUUAACACGUGGAAGCGUCUUUAACAACUUAAACCCCCUUAUUUUGAAAGAUGAGCUCGUGUUUUGCAUGAUUCUGCAGAGAUCAUUGGGAACAAUAGCUGUCAGGUAAAUACAGCAGAGUAGCAAUUGGGGGCUAACAGCAGAACAAAGGCUCAGCUCUUUUUUUUCCUUCGUCCCGGGCGGAGGUGAAGACUGAAAAGAAUCAAAUAGCUCAAGUUUAAGAAUGAAAAAGAAUUUAAUAACCAACAGAAUCAGUACAAUCACAAAGUGAAAUACGGUAAGAAAAGUAGAAUAUUUUGUCCCUUCGUCCAGUCUCAUGACUAUCAAUGUUAAUUCUCAGGAGGCUUCUGGAAGUCCUUCUCAUCUCAGAGUCCUUUGAG